CGAGCGAACAGAUAAGGAGCUUGCUCCUUUGACGUUAGCGGCGGACGGGUGAGUAACACGUGGGUAACCUACCUAUAAGACUGGAAUAACUCCGGGAAACCGGGGCUAAUGCCGGAUAACAUUUAGAACCGCAUGGUUCUAAAGUGAAAGAUGGUUUUGCUAUCACUUAUAGAUGGACCCGCGCCGUAUUAGCUAGUUGGUAAGGUAACGGCUUACCAAGGCAACGAUACGUAGCCGACCUGAGAGGGUGAUCGGCCACACUGGAACUGAGACACGGUCCAGACUCCUACGGGAGGCAGCAGUAGGGAAUCUUCCGCAAUGGGCGAAAGCCUGACGGAGCAACGCCGCGUGAGUGAUGAAGGUCUUCGGAUCGUAAAACUCUGUUAUUAGGGAAGAACAAAUGUGUAAGUAACUAUGCACGUCUUGACGGUACCUAAUCAGAAAGCCACGGCUAACUACGUGCCAGCAGCCGCGGUAAUACGUAGGUGGCAAGCGUUAUCCGGAAUUAUUGGGCGUAAAGCGCGCGUAGGCGGUUUCUUAAGUCUGAUGUGAAAGCCCACGGCUCAACCGUGGAGGGUCAUUGGAAACUGGGAAACUUGAGUGCAGAAGAGGAAAGUGGAAUUCCAUGUGUAGCGGUGAAAUGCGCAGAGAUAUGGAGGAACACCAGUGGCGAAGGCGACUUUCUGGUCUGUAACUGACGCUGAUGUGCGAAAGCGUGUGGAUCAAACAGGAUUAGAUACCCUGGUAGUCCACGCCGUAAACGAUGAGUGCUAAGUGUUAGGGGGUUUCCGCCCCUUAGUGCUGCAGCUAACGCAUUAAGCACUCCGCCUGGGGAGUACGACCGCAAGGUUGAAACUCAAAGGAAUUGACGGGGACCCGCACAAGCGGUGGAGCAUGUGGUUUAAUUCGAAAGCAACGCGAAGAACCUUACCAAAUCUUGACAUCCUUUGACAACUCUAGAGAUAGAGCCUUCCCCUUCGGGGGACAAAGUGACAGGUGGUGCAUGGUUGUCGUCAGCUCGUGUCGUGAGAUGUUGGGUUAAGUCCCGCAACGAGCGCAACCCUUAAACUUAGUUGCCAGCAUUUAGUUGGGCACUCUAAGUUGACUGCCGGUGACAAACCGGAGGAAGGUGGGGAUGACGUCAAAUCAUCAUGCCCCUUAUGAUUUGGGCUACACACGUGCUACAAUGGACAAUACAAAGGGCAGCUAAACCGCGAGGUCAUGCAAAUCCCAUAAAGUUGUUCUCAGUUCGGAUUGUAGUCUGCAACUCGACUACAUGAAGCUGGAAUCGCUAGUAAUCGUAGAUCAGCAUGCUACGGUGAAUACGUUCCCGGGUCUUGUACACACCGCCCGUCACACCACGAGAGUUUGUAACACCCGAAGCCGGUGGAGUAACCAUUUA
Molecule: ribosomal RNA, 1402 nt
Filed under: Staphylococcus sp.
Lineage: Bacteria; Bacillati; Bacillota; Bacilli; Caryophanales; Staphylococcaceae
Description: bacterial SSU rRNA
Rfam family: Bacterial small subunit ribosomal RNA
Source: RNAcentral